Molecule: RNA transcript, 3137 nt
Organism: Melanotaenia boesemani (Boeseman's rainbowfish)
Lineage: Eukaryota; Metazoa; Chordata; Actinopteri; Atheriniformes; Melanotaeniidae
Gene: tardbpb
Gene name: TAR DNA binding protein b
Exons: 7
Source: RefSeq, a predicted model, not a curated record
GAUAAUACCAUAUUGGUAGGUCGGACAUGGUGGUCUGUUUUCGCCUCGUGGAAAAGGAAUCUUGACGAUUUUUUCCCCACUUUACAUCCAGAUUGAGACAAGCGCAUCUUUAAAAUUAAAUAACUAAUUAAGCGUACUCAAAUUACUUUAAGAAAAUCACGGUGUCGCGUUUGUCAUCGGGGGAAUUUUGCGUAGUUUACAUUAAGAAGCACGUUCGAGCGAUUGUCGUCAGUUGUUGACGACACAGAUCGUCGUAUCAGCGAACAAAGAAAAAAAGAAAAUGGCCGAAGGUUACAUUCGAGUGGCGGAGGAGGAAAACGAAGAGCCCAUGGAAAUACCGGCCGAGGAUGAUGGCACCGUUCUCCUGUCAACCGUAGCGGCUCAGUUUCCAGGGGCGUGCGGCCUACGUUUCAGGAGCCCGGUGUCUCAGUGCAUGCGGGGAGUGCGUCUCGUGGAAGGGGUCCUGCACGCGCCAGAAAAUGGUUGGGGAAAUAUUGUGUAUGUGGUGAACUAUCCAAAAGACAACAAGAGGAAAAUGGAUGAAAUAGAUGCCUCUUCUGCUGUAAAGAUGAAGAGGGGGGAUAUGAAAACAUCUGACCUGAUUGUACUGGGUCUUCCUUGGAAAACAACUGAACAGGACCUGAAAGAUUACUUCAGUACAUUUGGAGAAGUCAUCAUGGUUCAGGUGAAACGAGAUGCCAAAACUGGAAACUCUAAAGGAUUUGGCUUUGUAAGGUUCACAGAGUAUGAGGCUCAAGAAAAGGUGAUUUCCCAGCGCCAUAUGAUUGACGGGAGAUGGUGCGACUGCAAGCUUCCUAACUCGAAGGUGAAUAUGCAAGGACCAGAUGAACCACUAAGAAGUCGAAAAGUGUUUGUAGGCCGUUGCACAGAGGACAUGACCACAGAUGAUCUACGGCAGUUCUUUAUGCAGUAUGGAGAAGUCACAGAUGUCUUUAUUCCCAAGCCAUUCCGUGCUUUUGCCUUUGUCACUUUUGCUGAUGAUCAGGUCGCCCAGUCUCUUUGUGGAGAGGACCUUAUUAUCAAAGGAGUCAGUGUUCACAUCUCAAAUGCUGAGCCCAAACAUGGCAAUAGGCAGUUUGAUCGUACAGCACGGUUUGGAAAUGGUUUUGGAGCCCAAGCAUUUGGUAGUAACCGUGGUGGGUUGGGGAGCAGCACCAACAGUAAUCUGGCUAACUUUGGUUCCUUCAGUCUGAAUCCUGCCAUGAUGGCUGCUGCUCAGGCUGCUUUGCAAAGUAGUUGGGGGAUGAUGGGUAUGCUGGCUAGCCAGCAGCAGACGUCCACCUCGGGUAGCACCUCCAGUGGAACAAGUUCUAGCAGGGACCAGAGUCAGUCUUUCAGUACAGGCAACAGCAACUAUGGCACCAGCUCAGCCAGUCUUGGUUGGGGCACAGGGUCAAACUCUACGACAAGCGGUAGUGGGUUUAGCUCAGGUUUUGGGUCCAGCAUGGAGUCAAAGUCAUCUGGGUGGGGUAUGUAAGUUAAGUGUUUGUAUGGUAAGUAUUGUGAGAAAGAUGAGUCUUUUCAAAGUUUAUUUCUGGUGUUAAUGCGUAUCUGAAAACACUUUUGAGGAAGAUGUUUUGUACAUUUGGAAAAAAAAUGCUAAAGAUUUAAUUUAGGAUGUGUUGAAGUGGAUUGUUUACCAGGAUCUCUGACUAAAGUGCUAUUUUUGAUGUCUUGUUUGUUUGUAUCCAUUUCAACUGGAUUCUCUAAUGCAUGUAUUGUGAAAUGUGAUGCCCAUCUUGAAAAUGCAUGAAUGUUUGUGGUUUACCAUUAUCCGGCUUUGUCAUCGACUUAAAAGGCAAUCUUGCAUUGGAAAGAAUCUGGUUGAAACCUAACUGUUUUAAGUGCAACUUUAUUUACAGUCAAGUUCUGUGGAAAAGCCUUCAUUGAAAUCUCUUCUGCAGUUCACCUCUCUUCCAUUUCCCUGUGAGGAAGCUCCUCUUUGGCAGCAUUCUUGGGGUGAUAUCGGUAUCAUUGUCCCUCUUCCUACCUGUAAAUGCUAUGCCAUCAAAGAACGGCUUCACUCCGCAUGUUCUAAGAGACGGGACCUUGGGCUCUGCUGGUCGAGGUCUCCGUUUGAACCCUGACUGAAGUCUGUUCUGAAGGACGAAGAUGGAAGUUCCGACACUUUCAGUUUGUGGCCUUCUCAGACAUGACAUGGGGUAGUACCUGUGUUUUUGCUGCUUUUGAUGGCUUGUUAGAGGGAAUUCUCUAUUACCAUCUAUUCCAAAGGUUAGGGGUAAGUUCUUGGGAGUUGAUUCUUAAAUUUUUUUGCAAAUGAGCUCAGCAAUGUGGCCUCAAUUUUCCAAGCUAUUUGUCUUUGAUUUGGCUCUAGAAAAAAAUGUCAUUGCUGGGCCUUCGAUUUUUUUUUAAGAUGGAAUCAAAUACUGUGGGUCCAGCAGUCUCAAGCUCCAAGGUUUCCCUAAGUCAGGGAUCACCAACUCUGGUCCUUGAGGGCUGGCAUCUUGCAGGUAUUGGAUGUGUUCCUGCAGCAACACACCUGAUUGAAAGGAAUGGGUCAUUAACAGAUUUGUGGAGAACUUAAGCUGUUGGAAAUCCAUUUUAUUUUAAUCAGGUGUUGCAAAAGGCAAACAUCCAACACCUGCAGGACACCGACCCUUCAGGGCCAGAUUUGGUGACCCCCUGCCCGAAGUACUAAGCGACACAUAAUAGUUUAAAUUCUCAUAUAGAAGGAGAAAACCAACACACAUUACUCAUGACAAGAUUAUAACAGCUAUAGUCAAUGUAGUAAAUGUUGAUGCCAAACAGUCUUUUGUAUUUGCUUUCAGACAGGAUGUAAAGCUGGGGUGCCCAAGUCAAGUCCUCAAGCUACUAUCCUGCUACUUUUAGAUUCAUCCCUUCUCUAACACACCUGAAUCAAAAGGCUGAAUUCCCUCGUGAAUAUUCAGCUCUGCAGAGGCUUGGUAACGAGCCAUUCAUUUAAUUCUGGUGUGUAUAGGAGAAGAGAAAAGUUGUAGGAUAGUAGCUCUUGAGGACUGAAUUUCGGCACCCCUGAUGUGAAGUAUUGUCAAAAUGUUGUGGUCCAGUCUUUUUUUUUUUUUUAUCUAGAUGAACUCAUGAGCUUGAAGUACAAAAUAAAUUAAACUUUAAUGACA